GACAGAGGCCUCAAGCGUUAGGCGGAAUCACUGGGCUUAAAGCGUGUGUAGGCGGAUCGUUAAGUGCCUUGUGAAAUCCCACGGCUUAACUGUGGAACGGCUGGGCAUACUGGCGGUCUUGAGCCAUCUAGGGGCGACUGGAACAAACGGUGGAGCGGUGAAAUGCGUAGAUAUCGUUUGGAACACCAAUGGUGAAAACAGGUCUCUGGGCAUAAACUGACGCUGAGACGCGAAAGCCAGGGGAGCAAACAGG
Molecule: ribosomal RNA, 253 nt
Filed under: uncultured bacterium
Lineage: Bacteria
Description: partial 16S ribosomal RNA
Rfam family: Bacterial small subunit ribosomal RNA
Source: RNAcentral